This is a long non-coding RNA of Papilio machaon (common yellow swallowtail), 604 nucleotides long. RefSeq lists it as uncharacterized. NCBI's taxonomy places the organism in Eukaryota, Metazoa, Arthropoda, Insecta, Lepidoptera, Papilionidae. The transcript is spliced from 3 exons. The record is from RefSeq and is a predicted model, not a curated record.
CAGGCCGGCGCGCUCGCCCUGACUUAACUCCGUAAGCUCGAUAGGGCAAAGUUCGCGACCGUACAUUAUGGAACUGUGAAUUAUUUUUUACAACAAAUUUUAAAGUCGGACCAAUUUACGAGAGAUUAUCACACUGCAAAAUCAUCACGGACUAACAAUAAAGUGAUAUAAUGUGUUAAAAUAAAUGAAGGCCUAAUGUAUAAAGCUAUAACCAAACAAUGUUUAAAUGAAAUACAAUGCAGAGGUACAGAAUGUGACCAGAAUUAAAGGAUGCAACUAGUAAUGAUAAAUUUCCUAAUAAUGUUCGACGUGGUGUUUAUAUUCUUUUUGUUCUUAAUCGCGGUCACAUGCGUCAUGAACUACAUGCCGGGUCGCAGCAAGAAGCAGGAAGCUACAGAGGAUGAAGUGGAGGAUGACGUCAUCCCUCCACCUCCGCUGUUCGCUGGAGAAGAUAUCGAGAGGCAAGCUUCGACCAGCAGAGAUACAUAUGUGGUUAUAUCACCUCCGAUCGACAACCACAAAACCAAAGAUGGAUGUCCUAUACACGUGGUCUAACAUAAGCAUUGAUGAAUCAACGUAGGAGUUUAUUCUAAAGAAGCCUUAU